This 301-nucleotide ribosomal RNA is filed under the name uncultured bacterium. RNAcentral describes it as "partial 16S ribosomal RNA". It matches the Rfam family "Bacterial small subunit ribosomal RNA", at positions 509 to 809 of the family's 1533-position model. The record is from RNAcentral.
CAGCCGCCGCGGUAACACGUAGGGUGCGAGCGUUAAUCGGAAUUACUGGGCGUAAAGCGUGCGCAGGCGGUUGUGUAAGACAGGUGUGAAAUCCCCGGGCUUAACCUGGGAACUGCGCUUGUGACUGCACAGCUAGAGUAUGGCAGAGGGGGGUGGAAUUCCACGUGUAGCAGUGAAAUGCGUAGAGAUGUGGAGGAACACCGAUGGCGAAGGCAGCCCCCUGGGCCAAUACUGACGCUCAUGCACGAAAGCGUGGGGAGCAAGCAGGAUUAGAUACCCGAGUAGUCCCUGUCUCUUAUAA